RNAcentral lists this ribosomal RNA (309 nucleotides) under Schmidingerella taraikaensis. RNAcentral describes it as "partial Bacterial large subunit ribosomal RNA". It matches the Rfam family "Bacterial large subunit ribosomal RNA", at positions 1970 to 2290 of the family's 2925-position model. Lineage: Eukaryota; Ciliophora; Spirotrichea; Tintinnida; Rhabdonellidae. The record is from RNAcentral.
UGUCGGGUAAGUUCCGACCUGCACGAAUGGCGUAACGAUGGCCACACUGUCUCCACCAGAGACUCAGUGAAAUUGAAAUUGCGGUUAAGAUGCCGUAUACCCGCGGCUAGACGGAAAGACCCCGUGAACCUUUACUAUAGCUUCACAUUGGUAUUGGGUAAUUCAUGUGUAGGAUAGGUGGGAGACUUUGAAGCAUGAUCGCUAGAUCUUGUGGAGUCGUCCUUGAAAUACCACCCUUCCUAUACUUAGAUUCUAACUCUGUAAAGAGGACAUUGUGUGGUGGGUAGUUUGACUGGGGUGGUCGCCUCC